Molecule: ribosomal RNA, 506 nt
Filed under: uncultured bacterium
Lineage: Bacteria
Description: partial 16S ribosomal RNA
Rfam family: Bacterial small subunit ribosomal RNA
Source: RNAcentral
AUUGAACGCUGGCGGUAGGCCUAACACAUGCAAGUCGAACGGCAGCACAGAGGAGCUUGCUCCUUGGGUGGCGAGUGGCGGACGGGUGAGGAAUACAUCGGAAUCUACUCUGUCGUGGGGGAUAACGUAGGGAAACUUACGCUAAUACCGCAUACGAACUACGGGUGAAAGCAGGGGAUCUUCGGACCUUGCGCGAUUGAAUGAGCCGAUGUCGGAUUAGCUAGUUGGCGGGGUAAAGGACCACCAAGGCGACGAUCCGUAGCUGGUAUGAGAGGAUGAUCAGCCACACUGGAACUUAGACACGGACCAGACUCCUACAGGGGGCAGCAGUGGGGAAUAGUGGACAAUGGGCGCAAGCCUGAUCCAGCCAUACCGCGUGGGUGAAGAAGGACAUCGGGUUGUAAAGCCCUUUUGUUGGGAAAGAAAUCCAGCUGGCUAAUACCCGGUUGGGAUGACGGUACCCAAAGAAUAAGCACCGGCUAACUUCGUGCCAGCCGCCGCGGUAA